RNAcentral lists this ribosomal RNA (520 nucleotides) under uncultured Glomus. RNAcentral describes it as "SSU rRNA". It matches the Rfam family "Eukaryotic small subunit ribosomal RNA", at positions 569 to 1091 of the family's 1831-position model. Lineage: Eukaryota; Fungi; Glomeromycota; Glomeromycetes; Glomerales; Glomeraceae. The record is from RNAcentral.
AGCAGCCGCGGUAAUUCCAGCUCCAAUAGCGUAUAUUAAAGUUGUUGCAGUUAAAAAGCUCGUAGUUGAAUUUCGAGAUCGGCUUACUGGUCGUGCUUUUGUACGUACUGGUAUAAUCGGUUUCUCCUUUCUGACGAACUUUAAUGCCAUUAAUUUGGUGUUUUAGGAAAUCAGGACUGUUACUUUGAAAAAAUUAGAGUGUUUAAAGCAGGCUCACGCUUGAAUACAUUAGCAUGGAAUAACGGAAUAGGACGUUUGAUUCUAUUUUGUUGGUUUCUAGGAUCGACGUAAUGAUUAAUAGGGAUAGUUGGGGGCAUUAGUAUUCAAUUGUCAGAGGUGAAAUUCUUGGAUUUAUUGAAGACUAACUACUGCGAAAGCAUUUGCCAAGGAUGUUUUCAUUAAUCAAGAACGAAAGUUAGGGGAUCGAAGACGAUCAGAUACCGUCGUAGUCUUAACCAUAAACUAUAGCCGACUAGGGAUCGGAUGAUGUUAAUUUUUAAUGACUCAUUCGGCGCCUUAC